CCUACGGGAGGCAGCAGUGAGGAAUAUUGGACAAUGGGCGCAAGCCUGAUCCAGCCAUGCCGCGUGCAGGAAGAAGCAUCUAUGGUGUGUAAACUGCUUUUGUACAGGAAGAAACACUCCCUCGUGAGGGAGCUUGACGGUACUGUAAGAAUAAGGACCGGCUAACUCCGUGCCAGCAGCCGCGGUAAUACGGAGGGUCCGAGCGUUAUCCGGAAUCAUUGGGUUUAAAGGGUCCGUAGGCGGUUUAAUAAGUCAGUGGUGAAAUCUGGUCGCUCAACGAUCAAACGGCCAUUGAUACUGUUAGACUUGAAUUAUAAGGAAGUAACUAGAAUAUGUAGUGUAGCGGUGAAAUGCUUAGAUAUUACAUGGAAUACCAAUUGCGAAGGCAGGUUACUACUUAUGGAUUGACGCUGAUGGACGAAAGCGUGGGGAGCGAACAGGAUUAGAUACCCUGGUAGUCCACGACGUAACGAUGAUACUAGCUGUUCGGUAGCAUACUGAGUGGCGUAGACGAAGUAGAGUAAGUA
RNAcentral lists this ribosomal RNA (527 nucleotides) under uncultured bacterium. RNAcentral describes it as "bacterial SSU rRNA". It matches the Rfam family "Bacterial small subunit ribosomal RNA", at positions 338 to 866 of the family's 1533-position model. The record is from RNAcentral.